CUGAGUUGUCGACACGAGCUGUUGCUGGUCCUCAAACACGGGGGCACGUGCACGCUCUGUUCACACAUCCACUCACACCUGUGCACCCUCUGUAGUUCCAUGGUCUUGGGGGGACGGGCGUCCCCCCCUCCUGUGGUUCUGCGUCUUUACACACACACCGUAGCAAAGUCUUAUGGAAUGUGCGCCGCGUUUAACGCAAUACAAUA
This 206-nucleotide unclassified non-coding RNA is filed under the name uncultured Tomentella. Its description in RNAcentral is "sequence contains ITS1". The record is from RNAcentral. Lineage: Eukaryota; Fungi; Basidiomycota; Agaricomycetes; Thelephorales; Thelephoraceae.